GUCAGGAUAGCUCAGUUGGUAGAGUACAUGACUGAAAAUACUUGUGUCACCAGUUCAAAUCUGGUUCCUGGCA
RNAcentral lists this transfer RNA (73 nucleotides) under Triticum aestivum (bread wheat). It matches the Rfam family "tRNA". From Rfam's summary of the family: Transfer RNA (tRNA) molecules are approximately 80 nucleotides in length. Lineage: Eukaryota; Viridiplantae; Streptophyta; Magnoliopsida; Poales; Poaceae. The record is from Rfam by way of RNAcentral.